GGCCUGGUAGCUCAGUUGGUAGAGCAGAGGACUGAAAAUCCUUGUGUCGCUGGUUCGAUUCCGGCCCGGGCCA
Molecule: transfer RNA, 73 nt
Filed under: Fidelibacterota bacterium
Lineage: Bacteria; Pseudomonadati; Fidelibacterota
Description: tRNA-Phe
Rfam family: tRNA
About the family: Transfer RNA (tRNA) molecules are approximately 80 nucleotides in length. Their secondary structure includes four short double-helical elements and three loops (D, anti-codon, and T loops).
Source: RNAcentral